UGUAACUACUGAAACGGUAGCUAAUACCGCAUAACGUCGCAAGACCAAAGGGGACCUUCAGACCUCACUUGCCAUCAGAUGUGCCAGAUGGGAUUAGCUAGUAGGUGGGGUAACGGCUCACCUAGGCGACGAUCCUAGCUGGUCUGAGAGGAUGAAGCCAGCCACACUGGAACUGAGACACGGUCAGACUCACAGGAGAGCAGCAGUGGGGAAUAUUGCACAAUGGGGCGCAAACCUGAUGCUGGCUCAUGCCGCGUGUAUGAAGAAAGAAGGCCUUCGGGUUGUAAAAUUACUUUCAGCGGGAGGAAGGUGUUGAGGUUAAUAACCUGAGCAAUUGACGUUACCCGCAGAAGAAGCACCAGCUAACUCGUGCCAGCAGCGCAGUAAUGGAGGGUGCAAGCGUUAAUCAAGAUUACUGGGCGUACAAAGCGCACGCAGGUGGUCCUGUCAGAGUCGGAUGUGAAAUCCCCGGGCUCAACCUGGGAACUGCAUUCCAGAGCGGCAGGCUGGAGUCUUGUGGGGGGUAGAAUUCAGGUGUAGCGGUGAAAUGCGUAGAGAUCUGGAGGAAUACCGGUGGCGAAAGGCGGCCCCUGGACAAGACUGACGCUCGGGUGCGAAAGCGUGGGGAGCAAGCAGGAUUAAGAUACCCUGGAGUCCACGCUGCAAACGAUGUCGACUUGGAGGUUGUUCCCUUGAGGAGUGGCUUCCCGGAGCUAACGUUAAGUCGACCGCCAGAGGUACGGCCGCAAGGUUAAAGCUCAAAUGAAUUGACGGGGAGCCCGCACAGGCGGUGGAGCGUAUGGUUUAAUUCGAUGCAACGCGAAGAACCUUACCUACUCUUGACAUCAGGGAACUUAGCAGAGAUGCUUUGGUGCCUUCCGGGAACUCUGAGACGGAGUGCUGCAUGGCUGUCGUCAGCUCGUGUUUGUGAAAUGUUGGGUUAAGGCCCGCAGCAGAGCGCAACCCUUAUCCUUUGUUGCCAGCGGUCGGUCCGGGAACUCAAGGAGACUGCCGGUGAUAGAAGCUGGAGAGGUGGGGAUGACGUCAAGUCAUCAUGGCCCUUACAGUAGGGGCUACACACGUGCUACAAUGGCAUAUACAAAGAGAGAAGCGACCUCGCGAAACAAGCGGACCUCGCCAAAAUUAUGUCGUAGUCCAGUUGGAGUCUGCAACUCGACUCCAUGGAAGUCAGGAAUCGCUAGUAAUCGUGGAUCAGAAUGCACCACGGUGAAUACGUUCGAACCUUGUACACACACCGCCCGUCACACCAUGCAGGUGGGUUGCAAAGAAGUAGGUAGCUUAACCUUGGGAGGAGCGCUUACCACUUUGUGAUUCAUGACUGGGGGUGAAGUCGUAACAAGGUAACCAUGAGGGAACCUGCAGCUGGAUCACCUCGCCAGGUUAAACGCAAACGGGCACCGAAGAUAAGAGCGACGAGCAAGUAGGUUAACUAACCCAUCAUGCAGAACAGGU
This 1473-nucleotide ribosomal RNA is filed under the name Klebsiella oxytoca. RNAcentral describes it as "partial 16S ribosomal RNA". It matches the Rfam family "Bacterial small subunit ribosomal RNA". The record is from RNAcentral. Lineage: Bacteria; Pseudomonadati; Pseudomonadota; Gammaproteobacteria; Enterobacterales; Enterobacteriaceae.